Molecule: long non-coding RNA, 261 nt
Organism: Carassius gibelio (silver crucian carp)
Lineage: Eukaryota; Metazoa; Chordata; Actinopteri; Cypriniformes; Cyprinidae
Exons: 2
Source: RefSeq, a predicted model, not a curated record
AGGCUUCCCUAACAUGACUGGUGCCAUUGACUGCACACACGUCCCCAUCAAGGCCCCAAUGAAGGGGAUUUUGUGAACCGAAAGGGAUUUCACAGUGUAAAUGUGCAGAUGCUUACGAUGGGAUCCUGCUUGGUGACAGGGGCUAUGCCUGCAGGCAGUACUUCAUAAUGCCAUUCCCUGACCCAAACCCGUUACAGUGCAGCUCUAACCAGGACAAGAGCACACAUUAAAACAACCUUUGGGCAACUAAAGGGAAGAUUU